UAAAUCUUUUGUCAUCUAUAUACACUUAUUUUGCUUUACUUUUGCUGCUUCCCUGAAAGCUCUUGCAAUCAGCUAUGGGCCAGAGUGCAUCAUCUUCAACAAAGAAGACUGUCUCAGGGCUUCAUAGACAAAGACUACCAUGCCAGGUUCUCUCGGGAACAGGCUCUUGAUGGCAUGGCUUUAAGUUCUCCCAUCAAUUCUUCCAUCAAAAAGAUUCCUCCUUAUCAAUAGAAGAGAGAGAGAACACACUUUAUUAACAAAGCUGAAGAAAGAACAUUCUCUUAUCUCCUCGAGAAGCAAAGGGCUGUACCUCAUGACAGCCUCCCGUACUUCUCAUGAGAGACCCCUGAGCUAAUUCAGGAGGUAAAUAUUUACAUAUCUAGAGAUUAUUUGGUCUAUGACCUUAGAAAUACUUCAGUUUUGUAGAAACUGAAGACUAGGCUUAACCCCUAGAAAUAUUUACCUCUGUUCUAAAGUUCAUGUAAGGACUCAGAUUCACUAUGUAUCCAAGGAAACACUACGGAAAAUGGGGGAGGUGGGGGGGAGCAGUUUUCCCUGUAUAAAUAGAGAAAAUCAUUUUCAUUUACCCUUACAGCUGUUAACUCAAGAUCUAGCAGAUCAAGAAUUAACUACAUAGGACUGAAUGAAUUGCAGAGGGAUGACUGUGGUUUUUGUUUGAAAAAUUGUUGAUGUUGUUUCAGUGUUCUAUUUUCUGGAUCUACAAAGAAGCUCUCUCUCUUUCCUCUUAAGUGAUCCAUGUUAUGAUCCUACUCAUAAUAAUUUAGUAGAUUUCACUUUUGUAAACUGAAACCUUUGUAAAUAUCUUAUUGUCUAACAAUGUGCUCAGUUUAAUAUCUGCAUGAGAGUGAUGGUUCUACCUUUUUCUGAAAAUUAUCUUUGAACAAAUCUAUACAAAUUUCC
This 921-nucleotide long non-coding RNA is filed under the name Equus asinus (donkey). Its description in RNAcentral is "lncRNA (ENSEASG00005036937.1, ENSEASG00020010788.1)". Lineage: Eukaryota; Metazoa; Chordata; Mammalia; Perissodactyla; Equidae. The record is from RNAcentral.